RNAcentral lists this ribosomal RNA (443 nucleotides) under uncultured bacterium. RNAcentral describes it as "partial 16S ribosomal RNA". It matches the Rfam family "Bacterial small subunit ribosomal RNA", at positions 338 to 795 of the family's 1533-position model. The record is from RNAcentral.
CCUACGGGUGGCUGCAGUGGGGAAUAUUGGGCAAUGGGCGCAAGCCUGACCCAGCAACGCCGCGUGAAGGAAGAAGGCCUUCGGGUUGUAAACUUCUUUUCUCAGGGACGAAGAAAGUGACGGUACCUGAGGAAUAAGCCUCCGCUAACUACGUGCCAGCAGCCGUGGUAAUACGUAGGUGGCAAGCGUUAUCCGGAUUGAGUGGGUGUAAAGGGCGUGUAGGCGGGAGCGCAAGUCAGAUGUGAAAAUUCAGGGCUCAACCCGGAGCCUGCAUUUGAAACUGGGUUUCUUGAGUGCUGGAGAGGCAAGCGGAAUUCCGGGUGUAGCGGUGAAAUGCGUAGAUAUACGGAGGAACACCAGUGGCGAAGGCGGAUUGCUGGACAGUAACUGACGCUGAGGCGCGAAAGCGUGGGGAGCAAACAGGAUUAGAUACCCGAGUAGUC